AGCUGGUUGGUGAGGUAACGGCCCACCAAGGCGACGAUCGGUAGCCGGACUGAGAGGUUGAACGGCCACAUUGGGACUGAGACACGGCCCAGACUCCUACGGGAGGCAGCAGUGGGGAAUAUUGCACAAUGGGGGAAACCCUGAUGCAGCGACGCCGCGUGGAGGAAGAAGGUCUUCGGAUUGUAAACUCCUGUUGUUGGGGAAGAUUAUGACGGUACCCAACAAGGAAGUGACGGCUAACUACGUGCCAGCAGCCGCGGUAAAACGUAGGUCACAAGCGUUGUCCGGAAUUACUGGGUGUAAAGGGAGCGCAGGCGGGAAGACAAGUUGGAAGUGAAAUCUAUGGGCUCAACCCAUAAACUGCUUUCAAAACUGUUUUUCUUGAGUAGUGCAGAGGUAGGCGGAAUUCCCGGUGUAGCGGUGGAAUGCGUAGAUAUCGGGAGGAACACCAGUGGCGAAGGCGGCCUACUGGGCACCAACUGACGCUGAGGCUCGAAAGUGUGGGUAGCAAACAGGAUUAGAUACCCUGGUAGUCCACACCGUAAACGAUGAUUACUAGGUGUUGGAGGAUUGACCCCUUCAGUGCCGCAGUUAACACAAUAAGUAAUCCACCUGGGGAGUACGACCGCAAGGUUGAAACUCAAAGGAAUUGACGGGGGCCCGCACAAGCAGUGGAGUAUGUGUUUAAUUCGACGCAACGCGAAGAACCUUACCAAGUCUUGACAUCCCUUGACAGGCAUAGAAAUAUGUUUUCUCUUCGGAGCAAGGAGACAGGUGGUGCAUGGUUGUCGUCAGCUCGUGUCGUGAGAUGUUGGGUUAAGUCCCGCAACGAGCGCAACCCUUAUGGUCAGUUACUACGCAAGAGGACUCUGGCCAGACUGCCGUUGACAAAACGGAGGAAGGUGGGGAUGACGUCAAAUCAUCAUGCCCUUUAUGACUUGGGCUACACACGUACUACAAUGGCGUUAAACAAAGAGAAGCAAGACCGCGAGGUGGAGCAAAACUCAGAAACAACGUCCCAGUUCGGACUGCAGGCUGCAACUCGCCUGCACGAAGUCGGAAUUGCUAGUAAUCGUGGAUCAGCAUGCCACGGUGAAUACGUUCCCGGGCCUUGUACACACCGCCCGUCACACCAUGAGAGCCGGGGGGACCCGAAGUCGGUAGUCUAACCGCAAGGAGGACGCCGCCGAAGGUAAAACUGGUGAUUGGGGUGAAGUCGUAACAAGGUAGCCGUAGGAGAACCUGCGGCUG
RNAcentral lists this ribosomal RNA (1251 nucleotides) under metagenome. Its description in RNAcentral is "bacterial SSU rRNA". It matches the Rfam family "Bacterial small subunit ribosomal RNA", at positions 243 to 1520 of the family's 1533-position model. The record is from RNAcentral.